RNAcentral lists this ribosomal RNA (200 nucleotides) under uncultured bacterium. RNAcentral describes it as "partial 16S ribosomal RNA". It matches the Rfam family "Bacterial small subunit ribosomal RNA", at positions 29 to 258 of the family's 1533-position model. The record is from RNAcentral.
AACGAACGCUGGCGGCAGGCUUAACACAUGCAAGUCGAGCGCCCCGCAAGGGGAGCGGCAGACGGGUGAGUAACACGUGGGAAUCUACCCAUCCCUGCGGAACAACUCCGGGAAACUGGAGCUAAUACCGCAUACGCCCUACGGGGGAAAGAUUUAUCGGGGAUGGAUGAGCCCGCGUUGGAUUAGCUAGUUGGUGGGGU